Molecule: ribosomal RNA, 2632 nt
Filed under: fungal sp.
Lineage: Eukaryota; Fungi
Description: SSU rRNA
Rfam family: Eukaryotic small subunit ribosomal RNA (bases 1-2114)
Source: RNAcentral
ACCGUGGUAAUUCUAGAGCUAAUACAUGCUAAAAAUCCCGACUUACGGAGGGAUGUAUUUAUUAGAUUAAAAACCAAUGCCCUUCGGGGCUCUCUGGUGAUUCAUAAUAACUUCUCGAAUCGCAUGGCCUUGAGCUGGCGAUGGUUCAUUCAAAUUUCUGCCCUAUCAACUUUCGAUGGCAGGGUCUUGGCCUGCCAUGGUUACAACGGGUAACGGAGGGUUAGGGCUCGACCCCGGAGAAGGAGCCUGAGAAACGGCUACUACAUCCAAGGAAGGCAGCAGGCGCGCAAAUUACCCAAUUCCGAUACGGAGAGGUAGUGACGAUAAAUACUGAUACAGGGCUCUUUUGGGUCUUGUAAUUGGAAUGAGUACAAUUUAAAUCCCUUAACGAGGAACAAUUGGAGGGCAAGUCUGGUGCCAGCAGCCGCGGUAAUUCCAGCUCCAAUAGCGUAUAUUAAAGUUGUUGCAGUUAAAAAGCUCGUAGUUGAACCUUGGGCCUGGCUGGCUGGUCCGCCUCACCGCGUGUACUGGUUCGGCCGGGCCUUUCCCUCUGGGGAACCUCAUGCCCUUCACUGGGUGUGCUGGGGAACCAGGACUUUUACUGUGAAAAAAUUAGAGUGUUCAAAGCAGGCCUAUGCUCGAAUACAUCAGCAUGGAAUAAUAGAAUAGGACGUGCGGUUCUAUUUUGUUGGUUUCUAGGACCGCCGUAAUGAUUAAUAGGGACAGUCGGGGGCAUCAGUAUUCAAUUGUCAGAGGUGAAAUUCUUGGAUUUAUUGAAGACUAACUACUGCGAAAGCAUUUGCCAAGGAUGUUUUCAUUAAUCAGGAACGAAAGUUAGGGGAUCGAAGACGAUUAAUCUGGUCGUCAACAGUUAGGCGAUGGCCUAGCUAGUCCGCUGUAGCUGGGGUACAGCGGGCGACACCGUCAAAUUGCGGGGACCUCCUUAGAGCCCCUACCACACCCUGCCGCUAGAAAUAGCGGUAGGUCGUAACAGUGUAGGGGAUUGGACCAUCCGCAGCCAAGCCCGAGAAGCCUACCCGGUAGCUACCCUAUAGCGGGGUAGCUACCCCGCAGGCGGGGGUGCAGUUCACAGACUAAACGUCGGUGGGAACCCCUGAGUUCUUAAGAUAUAGUCGACCCGCGCCUGAAAAGGUGACGAUUGGCGCUGAAGUACAGUGCUGUAAAACGCAGAUACCGUCGUAGUCUUAACCAUAAACUAUGCCGACUAGGGAUCGGACGAUGUUAUUUUUUGACUCGUUCGGCACCUUACGAGAAAUCAAAGUUUUUGGGUUCUGGGGGGAGUAUGGUCGCAAGGCUGAAACUUAAAGAAAUUGACGGAAGGGCACCACCAGGGGUGGAGCCUGCGGCUUAAUUUGACUCAACACGGGGAAACUCACCAGGUUAACUACAGAUGGUUACACGUCUGGGCCUGGAAUAGUAGGCAUUAGUCUGCUAGUACUGGAAUUCAUCUGCGUGGGGAAGCCCCCGAUUCGGGCGCAGAACAGCUAUAAUUACAGCUGUUUUCCAGUGCGACACCCGCUGGUACAGGGGACGUUUCAGGUCUUUAGGGACCUAAGCCAAUCCUGUGGCGAGUUCAGGUUGCGCUGAACCGUUGCAACGCGCGCUAAGCGGUGGGCCUUUAGGGGCUUAAGGUACGUGCUGAUCCUGCAGGAAACUGCAGCUUACUUGACUAGGUCCGAGUAUCCAAAGCAAGUAAGGCGGGGUGCUGAAAAGUGCCCUGUGUAAAUGCCAGACACAAUGAGGAUUGACAGAUUGAGAGCUCUUUCUUGAUUUUGUGGGUGGUGGUGCAUGGCCGUUCUUAGUUGGUGGAGUGAUUUGUCUGCUUAAUUGCGAUAACGAACGAGACCUUAACCUGCUAAAUAGCCCGUAUUGCUUUGGCAGUACGCUGGCUUCUUAGAGGGACUAUCCGCUCAAGCGGAUGGAAGUUUGAGGCAAUAACAGGUUAACCUUCACAGGCCUGUAAUAGUAAGCCUCGGUAAAUAAUUUGCUAGUCUAUACCUUUAUCUCUUUGGGGGAAGUCCCCUAUUAUCGGGAAGAGAAGCAACUGUACAGUUGCUUGGUAUAGGCGACACCACCUGGUACAGGGAACGCUACGGGCAGUAGAAUGCCUAAGCCGAUCCUGUGGCGAGCCUAGGUUACGCUAGGCCGUCGCAACGCGCGGUAAGGGGUGGGCUGAAUAGCGAUAUUCAGCUUAAGGUACGUGCUAAACCCUCGGGAAACCGAGCUUCCAUAACUAGGCCCGAUAAGCCGAAGUAUAGGGGGGCCGAGAGGCUGGAAAAAAGGUUCUACAGCGAUCCGUAGGGGGCAUUGUCCCCCGCGGGGAGUGGUAACCUUUUCUGCUGUGAUGCCCUUAGAUGUUCUGGGCCGCACGCGCGUUACACUGACAGAGCCAGCGAGUACUUCCUUGGUAGAAAUACCCGGGUAAUCUUGUUAAACUCUGUCGUGCUGGGGAUAGAGCAUUGCAAUUAUUGCUCUUCAACGAGGAAUCCCUAGUAAGCGCAAGUCAUCAACUUGCGUUGAUUACGUCCCUGCCCUUUGUACACACCGCCCGUCGCUACUACCGAUUGAAUGGCUCAGUGAGGCUUUCGGACUGGCCUAGGGGAGUCGGCAA